RNAcentral lists this ribosomal RNA (664 nucleotides) under uncultured bacterium. Its description in RNAcentral is "bacterial SSU rRNA". It matches the Rfam family "Bacterial small subunit ribosomal RNA", at positions 66 to 723 of the family's 1533-position model. The record is from RNAcentral.
UCGGUAGCACAAGGGAGCUUGCUCCCUGGGUGACGAGCGGCGGACGGGUGAGUAAUGUCUGGGAAACUGCCUGAUGGAGGGGGAUAAGUACUGGAAACGGUAGCUAAUACCGCAUAACGUCGCAAGACCAAAGAGGGGGACCUUCGGGCCUCUUGCCAUCAGAUGUGCCCAGAUGGGAUUAGCUAGUAGGUGGGGUAAUGGCUCACCUAGGCGACGAUCCCUAGCUGGUCUGAGAGGAUGACCAGCCACACUGGAACUGAGACACGGUCCAGACUCUUACGGGAGGCCCCCGUGGGGAAUAUUGCACAAUGGGCGCAAGCCUGAUGCAGCCAUGCCGCGUGUGAAGAAGGCCUUCGGGUUGUAAAGCACUUUCAGCGAGGAGGAAGGUGGUGAGCUUAAUACGUUCUUCAAUUGACGUUUCUGGCAGAAGAAGCACCGGCUAACUCCGUGCCAGCAGCCGCGGUAAUACGGAGGGUGCAAGCGUUAAUCGGAAUUACUGGGCGUAAAGCGCACGCAGGCGGUUUGUUAAGUCAGAUGUGAAAUCCCCGGGCUCAACCUGGGAACUGCAUUUGAAACUGGCAAGUUAGAGUCUUGUAGAGGGGGGUAGAAUUCCAGGCCAGACAUGAAAUGCUAGAGAUCGGGAGGAAUACCGGUGGCGAAGUCA